Molecule: long non-coding RNA, 201 nt
Filed under: Lathyrus oleraceus (garden pea)
Lineage: Eukaryota; Viridiplantae; Streptophyta; Magnoliopsida; Fabales; Fabaceae
Description: Pisum sativum (pea) long non-coding RNA (PSAT_LNC019798)
Source: RNAcentral
GGAAAUAUUUAUAGGUACCACAUCACCUUUUCAAGAGGACCUUUUUUGCUUACAUCAUCAUCAUCAUCAUCAACACCGUUGUCCUUCAGCUUGUAGUGCGACUCCUCACACAUCGAGAAUCCAUUCACUUUUCACACGUUUUCAUGUACAAUAUGAAAUCAUAAUGACAUUCAUGUAUUUUUGACAUAGUAUAAACUCAUU